Molecule: ribosomal RNA, 468 nt
Filed under: uncultured bacterium
Lineage: Bacteria
Description: partial 16S ribosomal RNA
Rfam family: Bacterial small subunit ribosomal RNA
Source: RNAcentral
GACGAACGCUGGCGGCGUGCUUAACACAUGCAAGUCGAACGGAAAGGCCCUGCUUUUGUGGGGUGCUCGAGUGGCGAACGGGUGAGUAACACGUGAGUAACCUGCCCUUGACUUUGGGAUAACUUCAGGAAACUGGGGCUAAUACCGGAUAGGAGCUCCUGCUGCGUGGUGGGGGUUGGAAAGUUUCGGCGGGUGGGGAUGGACUCGCGGCUUAUCAGCUUGUUGGUGGGGUAGGGGCUUACCCAGGCUUUGACGGGUAGCCGGCCUGAGAGGGUGACCGGCCACAUGGGGACUGAGAGACGGCGCAGACUGCUACGGGAGGCAGUAGUGGGGAAUAUUGCACAAUGGGCGGAAGCCUGAUGCAGCAACGCCGCGUGCGGGAUGACGGCCUUCGGGUUGUAAACCGCUUUCGCCUGUGACGAAGCGUGAGUGACGGUAAUGGGUAAAGAAGCACCGGCUAACUACGUG